Maniola jurtina (meadow brown) is the source of this 436-nucleotide long non-coding RNA. RefSeq lists it as uncharacterized. The transcript is spliced from 3 exons. The record is from RefSeq and is a predicted model, not a curated record. Lineage: Eukaryota; Metazoa; Arthropoda; Insecta; Lepidoptera; Nymphalidae.
CUCAAUUCUUGAACAGACACGUAUGCCAGAAGCACUUCGAUAGACAUCAGUUCGACAGUAUGGGGUGGUAUGGGAACCCGACGUACGCAUGGUUAUCUCUACUUGUUUACUGAAAAGGAAAAUACUUCACGGAAUUCCUGAGCUCAUUAGCUGAACAUGAUUUCAGUGAUCACAAUUUUAUUAUGCUUUACAACCAACUUCAGAUCAACAGAAUUCAACAUUCAGAAGAUUCAACAGUAUCCACUCAAAGUACAAUAAUAAUAAUUAGUGCCAAUUUGACAACCAAGUGCAGGUAUUUUAUUAAAAGAAUAAAAGAAAUGUUUAUCAAAGAAAACAAGAAGCAAAGGCUAUUUUCAGAAGGAUCCUCAAAGAUGACUUUUGGUAAAUAUAUAAAGUGUAUAGAUUAAGAAGCAAGAAAUAUAAAACUGAAUUUGAU